UACGAGGGGGGCAAGCGUUGUUCGGAAUUAUUGGGCGUAAAGGGCGCGUAGGCGGUGCGGUAAGUCACCUGUGAAAUUUCCGGGCUUAACUCGGAGUCUGCAGGCGAAACUGCCGUGCUGGAGUAUGGGAGAGGUGCGUGGAAUUCCCGGUGUAGCGGUGAAAUGCGUAGAUAUCUGCCGGAACACCCGUGGCGAAAGCGGCGCGCUGGACCACUACUGACGCUGAGGAACGAAAGCUAGGGGAGCAAACAGG
RNAcentral lists this ribosomal RNA (253 nucleotides) under uncultured bacterium. RNAcentral describes it as "partial 16S ribosomal RNA". It matches the Rfam family "Bacterial small subunit ribosomal RNA", at positions 524 to 776 of the family's 1533-position model. The record is from RNAcentral.